RNAcentral lists this ribosomal RNA (821 nucleotides) under Steatonyssus occidentalis. RNAcentral's name for it is "eukaryotic LSU rRNA". It matches the Rfam family "Eukaryotic large subunit ribosomal RNA", at positions 113 to 799 of the family's 3401-position model. The record is from RNAcentral. Lineage: Eukaryota; Metazoa; Arthropoda; Arachnida; Mesostigmata; Macronyssidae.
AUUGCCAUUCUAUGUUUCGACAUAAGAGAUGAGGUGUAAAGGUGUGGCGUGUUGGACAGAGGAGCGGCCUAAUUAUUAUUGAGUGAGUGCUCAUAGAAGGUGAAAAGCCUGUACGGUCGAACCGAUCUGUCAACCGCAACACUGACGAGUCGAGUUGUUUGAGAGUACAACUUAAAGCUGGUGGUAAAUUUCAUCAAAGGCUAAAUAUAUGAGGGGACUAAUAGCGAACAAGUACCAUGAGGGAAAGUUGAAAAGAACUCUGACGAGAGAGUUCAACAGUACGUGAAACCAUAUUGAGUAAAACAGAUAACUGUGUUGUUAUGUGGUGUGCCUAUCAACAGUGAAUUUGGUGUUGCGAGAUCACGAGUGCAGGCUGUCUAUUCAGCUGCGUGCUCAUGAUUAGCAUAGCCGAGUGUUCUGUGCACUAGUGCGCACUCGAUCAUUGAGAAACUAUGCUGCUGCGGCAUCGGCGUGCAUCAGUCUGUACCUAGUACACAGUUGCAUGCUGGGCGUCAGCUAGCCGGCGUAGUUUAGCUGUGUGACAGCUGUGGAUCGCGUUUACCGAGGCGACUUGCUGUAUCUGCGAAUCGGUUGAUUCCUUUUUGCGGUGAGUUCGUCGCUACACGUAAGCGGUCCGCCAUCAAUGCUUAACAUUAGUUAUCUGACCCGUCUUGAAACACGGACCAAGGAGUUCAAAUGGCACGCGAGUCAUUGGGUUUAAGCACCCGAAGGCGAAGUGAAAUGCAAACGUAUUGUUAUUUGUGGUUGUUCCAUGAUGAAGCGAUAAGCUACUCAUGCUUUCUGGCAUUUGUAGACUCAAU